This 742-nucleotide ribosomal RNA is filed under the name uncultured bacterium. Its description in RNAcentral is "bacterial SSU rRNA". It matches the Rfam family "Bacterial small subunit ribosomal RNA", at positions 8 to 796 of the family's 1533-position model. The record is from RNAcentral.
AGAGUUUGAUCAUGGCUCAGAACGAACGCUGGCGGCAGGCUUAACACAUGCAAGUCGAACGCUGUAGCAAUACAGAGUGGCGCACGGGUGAGUAACACGUGGGAACAUGCCCUUCAGUCUAGGAUAACACCGGGAAACUGGUGCUAAUACUGGAUAUUCCCUCCGGGGGAAAGAUUUAUCGCUGAAGGAUUGGCCCGCGUUAGAUUAGGUAGUUGGUGGGGUAAUGGCCUACCAAGCCUACGAUCUAUAGCUGGUCUGAGAGGACGACCAGCCACACUGGAACUGAGACACGGUCCAGACUCCUACGGGAGGCAGCAGUGGGGAAUAUUGGACAAUGGGCGCAAGCCUGAUCCAGCCAUGCCGCGUGAGUGAUGAAGGCCUUAGGGUUGUAAAGCUCUUUUGUGAGGGAAGAUAAUGACGGUACCUCAAGAAUAAGCACCGGCUAACUUCGUGCCAGCAGCCGCGGUAAUACGAAGGGUGCUAGCGUUGUUCGGAAUUACUGGGCGUAAAGCGCGCGUAGGCGGCUAUUCAAGUCAGGGGUGAAAUCCCACAGCUCAACUGUGGAAUUGCCUUUGAAACUGUUUAGCUUGAGUGUCGGAGGGGAUAGCGGAAUUGCUAAUGUAGAGGUGAAAUUCGUAGAUAUUAGCAGGAACACCGGUGGCGAAGGCGGCUAUCUGGACGACAACUGACGCUGAGGCGCGAAAGCACGGGGAUCAAACAGGAUUAGAUACCCUAGUAGUCC